GAAGAACGCUGGCGGCGUGCCUAAUACAUGCAAGUCGAGCGAACAGACGAGGAGCUUGCUCCUCUGACGUUAGCGGCGGACGGGUGAGUAACACGUGGAUAACCUACCUAUAAGACUGGGAUAACUUCGGGAAACCGGAGCUAAUACCGGAUAAUAUAUUGAACCGCAUGGUUCAAUAGUUAAAGACGGUUUUGCUGUCACUUAUAGAUGGAUCCGCGCCGCAUUAGCUAGUUGGUAAGGUAACGGCUUACCAAGGCGACGAUGCGUAGCCGACCUGAGAGGGUGAUCGGCCACACUGGAACUGAGACACGGUCCAGACUCCUACGGGAGGCAGCAGUAGGGAAUCUUCCGCAAUGGGCGAAAGCCUGACGGAGCAACGCCGCGUGAGUGAUGAAGGUCUUCGGAUCGUAAAACUCUGUUAUUAGGGAAGAACAAAUGUGUAAGUAACUAUGCACGUCUUGACGGUACCUAAUCAGAAAGCCACGGCUAACUACGUG
RNAcentral lists this ribosomal RNA (497 nucleotides) under uncultured bacterium. RNAcentral's name for it is "partial 16S ribosomal RNA". It matches the Rfam family "Bacterial small subunit ribosomal RNA", at positions 28 to 507 of the family's 1533-position model. The record is from RNAcentral.